Molecule: ribosomal RNA, 119 nt
Organism: Bison bison bison
Lineage: Eukaryota; Metazoa; Chordata; Mammalia; Artiodactyla; Bovidae
Source: Ensembl
GUCUACGGCCAUACCAGCCUGAAUGCGCUUGAUCGUGUCUGAUCUUGGAAGCUAAGCAGGGUCAGGCCUGGUUAGUACUUAGGUGGGAGACCGAAGUGGAGAGGUUGGUACUGCAGACU